GACGAACGCUGGCGGCGUGCUUAACACAUGCAAGUCGAACGGUAAGGCCCUUCGGGGUACACGAGUGGCGAACGGGUGAGUAACACGUGGGUGAUCUGCCCUGCACUUCGGGAUAAGCCUGGGAAACUGGGUCUAAUACCGGCUAGGACCAUGCGCUGCACGGUGUGUGGUGGAAAGCUUUUGCGGUGUGGGAUGGGCCCGCGGCCUAUCAGCUUGUUGGUGGGGUAAUGGCCUACCAAGGCGACGACGGGUAGCCGGCCUGAGAGGGUGACCGGCCACACUGGGACUGAGAUACGGCCCAGACUCCUACGGGAGGCAGCAGUGGGGAAUAUUGCACAAUGGGCGCAAGCCUGAUGCAGCGACGCCGCGUGAGGGAUGACGGCCUUCGGGUUGUAAACCUCUUUCAGUAGGGACGAAGCGCAAGUGACGGUACCUACAGAAGAAGGACCGGCCAACUACGUGCCAGCCGCCGCAGUAA
RNAcentral lists this ribosomal RNA (478 nucleotides) under uncultured bacterium. Its description in RNAcentral is "partial 16S ribosomal RNA". It matches the Rfam family "Bacterial small subunit ribosomal RNA", at positions 28 to 523 of the family's 1533-position model. The record is from RNAcentral.